AUGGAUAUUCUGAAGAGUUCUUACUACAUUCGGUGUAACAAGUAUUUAAGUUUUUAUGGGCAUUGGCCUUACCAGAAUGUCAUAGUUAAAAUUCGCAAUCAAAUUGUAAUAAUGCUGCUAAUCAUGUCUAUAUUUUUGCCACAAUUCAUGAAAAUGAUUGAAAUACGACACUACUUUCACUACUUUAUACUAAGCUUACCGUCACUGCUAUAUUAUACACAAUUUAUAGCGAAGAAUGUGUUUGCUUUCGUUGGACGAAAACAGAUUAAAAAUGUUUUGGAUAAAAUUCAACAAGAUUUUCAAGUUUACAAAGGUGAGGAUUUAGCAGUGCUUCACGAAUAUUCGAAAAAAGCUCAAAAAUUCAACAAGUUUUAUACAGUCUACAUGUUCAUGGUGGUUGGUGCAUACAGUAUGCUACCUUUUACUCUUUAUAUGCUGGACACUUUUGUACCUUUGAAUUACUCUCGAUUGCCAUACAAACCUAGGCUUGUCAAAUAUUGUAUCACUACUUUUGAUGACAAUAUAUUGUUCAUCAUUAUCCAUGGGGGUAUUGCUGAUAUGAUGGCAAUCGUGUUUGUUAUAGGUUUUGAUACUUUAUUCUUAAGUUUUGCGUAUCAUAUAUGCGCACUUUUUGUAAUCGUGACCCACAAAAUUCGUGACGCCGUUAAUGAUGAAAUCGAUAGUCAAAAUAGUACAAUAAACGAAUGUUCAAAUUUAAGAGAAGACAUUUCCUACCGAAAUUUCGUAAAAACUAUUACUUUGCAUAAAUACGUAUUAACAUUCAUAGAUACAAUUGAAACGGCAUUUUCACCUCUCAAUGUCAUCUCUAUUGCAUUAGCGAUGGUACCUUUAACUAUAACAGGAUUCGAAGUUGUGAUGAAUAAAGGAAAUCCUGGGGAAAUGUUAAGAUACGCGAUGUACGCAAUCGCCGAAAUGAUCCAUCUUUUUUACUACAAUUGGCCUGGACAAAAGAUCAGAGAUCAUAGUAUGCUUAUUUACGAGGCUUGCUAUGCUACCAAUUGGUACAGGAAGGAUUUCUCUGUAAGAAGUAAAAAAAUAAUGAAUCUCAUGAUGAUCAGAAGUCAGAAACCAUCCUAUUUGACGGCGGGUAAAAUUUACGUUCUUGGUUUGGAAAACUUUGCUGCGGUAAUGCGAGUGUCGAUGUCUUAUUUUACUGUAUUGUCAUCUGUUACGUAGUUUCGAAAGAAAUCGAAGCGCCUGAAUUUUUUUUAACCAUCGGAACAAUCUAUUAUAUAUUUUCCAAAAUACGAAAGUUAUUGCGUGUUUUUUACUUAAAACAAUAAAUAAUCGUUGGCAUAAAUUAUUUUCGUUUCUUUCGGGAGAACAUUUAGAAAACAAAUAAUUUGGCCUCUAAACAGAAAAAUUAAUUUUUUUCAUAAAAUAAUUCAAACGCGACAUCGUAUACGUGUACUUUCUACUAUUGUUCCACGUCAGCGGAAGAUGAUGCAGAAAAUUCCCUCACUGCCUAUUACCGUAAUUCUAUAAACGUAUCGCGGAAAUAACAUUUUUUCUUUCUUUGCUUACACACACGAUCAAACGGCUAUUACGUAAACACAUGAAAAUAAAAAGAACACCCCACAAGAGCAGAGCAUAUCGCGGAUAUACAUUAAGUACACUGCACUUUUCUCGUGCCGAGAGAAAAAAAAUUUCUCGAAAUAAACGUGUAAUUUACGGUGAUAUAGGGCAUUUAGCCUUAAGCACGCGAUCUACAGCGGUUACCGAGAGGCGCGGGGGUGGGCGAGCUAUAUCCGCGUAAAUACUUUGUAUAUGCAGCCUAAAGCGGAAUAUGCACCGGAUAUACAUUGUUGUUUGAUCAACUAUGCAAAUCGUUCGAUGUAUUUUCUUAGUUUAUUUUCUGCGUUUGUUUUCCGUAUCGAUGAUGUACGUGGCGCUUAUUUUCUUUUUCUUUCAUCCACGAGGGUGCAUUUUUUAUCAGGUUCGUAUUAGCUGCAGAAGGAACAACAAAGCAAGUAUAUUUUGAUUUAAGUGGGCGAGGUAAGAAGCACUCUGCGGGGUACGUAAGAUAAUGGGAUCAAAUUCUUCGCAAGAAACGUUUGCUAUUUCGAUACAGGCCUACGUGUACUUACGAAAACUUCCAGAAUGGACGAUUAGCGAAGCAUCGACUCAUCGCUCGAAAUCAUCUCCAGCUUUAUAAAUUCCACGAAAUUAGUCAGACACCUGCUCGUCACCCGCUAAAUUGCAUUGCGAGAAUAUAAGCAUCACAUAAUGGGAGCCGGCAUUAUCUCGCAUUAUUAUUAUAUCACACGGUUAUUUGCCUAUGAGAUUUUAAAAACGCCGAUGACAUAGGCUCAUUUGCACUACAAUGUCCCAAGAAAAAUUCAUUGCGUUGAGCUCAUGGAAAAGCUGCAGUAUACCGAAGAUAUAGCUAGUAAUUGCUUCCGAGUUAUGGCCAAUUAUCUGCGUCUUCGUGCUCGUAUUUUGCAAGAAGACGCCGCGCGUUUAUGUCAGGUUUCUAUUUGUCAAUCGUCGUUAAACGAAACGUGUUACAACCGUCCAGCCGCACUUACUAAGUAGAUGUGUCUUUUUUUCGAAUCCGAUUGAAGGAUUUCAUUGCGCGGCUGUUUAAUAUAAUUCGUUUUAAAAAAUAUACAGGCAUGGGUGAAUAUCACUAAAAAGUGUAAAUAUUCGAAUCGCGUAAACCAUCUUACACAACCACAUAAACCACCCAAAUUAACACCAGGGACCAUAACCAUCACUUAACGACAGCUCGGAACGAAGUUAGCCUCAAUGCAUGUGCUCGAAAACAAUGCGCGAAUUCGACGCUCUGUUAAAGUAUACACUACUGACGUAGCUGAGAAACCGUAAAAAGCAGAAACGGGAGUAGCUUCCGUGUCGUUAAAUUUUUCCAUUGUGUUGCUUUAUUGUCUUCGUUUCAUGCUGCGAUACGCCACCAGAAUUUUCCAGCCACCUUCGCACUGCAUACGAUAAACCGAAGAAGCGACAAGACUUUGUUUCAUCUAUGUAGGUAUAUUCAUUUUGCGAGCGGGCGAAAAUUAUCCCGCGGCGGGCGUCCGAGACUCUACAAUUAUAGGCGAGGAGUAUAGAUCGUCGCGCGAUUGUUCUUAGUGCCAGAGGCUGUUACAUGGAAAAUUGAGAGCUUGGGACUCUUAUCAUCUGGUGGUGUGUAGUUGCUUCCGCGAAAGAGGCGAUCCAAUUUUUCCGAUAGCUGCGGCGAAUUCUUUAAGAUGCAAGCGACGCAAUUGUUUAGAGGAAAUAUUUGUCGGUAUCUUCGUUUGAUACAUCAGUUUGAUGUUUUCAUUAGAAACGACCGACUCUGGGAACAUCGUUUGAACAGAAUUUGUAUAAUAAGCUUCCGGCAAUGUAGUUUGAAAGCAUUUGUCAUUUAAUUGUUACCCAUCAUUCUGGAUGAUAACGAAUUUUCAGAAUUUCCCCACCUUGUGUAGGAUUGUUCAUUUCGUAAUACGAUGUAAAGAGAGAUUUGGGAAUUCCGAAUGAUGGAUCUACGAUCAAUUAAUGAUGUGAUGGUUAUCUGAAGUAUCCGAAACCAGACUCUAAUAGAUGUAAUUGUGAGACUUUUGUCUUCAAGAAAAUAUGUAUCAUAACUUAAAAUAAACUUAGACGUACGAUUAAAACCCACCCGAACAAUAGACGAACAAUAAUAGCACAAUCUCGCACUAAUGGCUCUAAAAACACCCUGUUAAACUUCGCUAACGUAAUGCAAACUUCCGAGGUGACUCCGAGGAAAACAAUGGAAAUUAAUCCGUACCUCCUUACCAAUUUACCUCAUCGUUGACGCAAAGGCAAUUGUCAAUCAUUGAGCGUAAUCGAUGUUUAUUUGCUCACUCACUCAUCACAUGCAUGCUUACGAUACCCAGAGCACUCGCGGAGAGAGAUAGAAUUGUCGUGUACGUUCGCGACUCGAUUCGAAAACAAGCAAAAAUACCAAAGGAGAUGCGCAAGUCAGCCCUUAUCCUGUUUCUUUUUUGUGUAUUUUUAAACGUUCAAACGAAUACUGAUGUAAAAUGUAUUGUCUUGUUCAAGCGUAAGAAGAGGAAAGAAAGACUCACGUGGAUUUGGUUGGCUCGACUGCUGCUGAUGCUGCGAAGACGUCUGGUGAUUUGGCUGCUCAUUUUCGGGAUUGGUCUCAGGCUGGUGCUCGGUGUUCUCUUCCUGAUGAACGGGGUACUCCUCUGGAAACACCGUGGAUACGUUCAUGCUAUUGUGCAGUGUCUAUAGGAAAAAAGAAAGCAGUUGAUGAAUCAAUAUCGUACACUUUGCAUUUCAAUAUCACUAUAUACAGAAGAACAACGCUAUUAUGACUAUUUUGUUCAAGUUAUAUUGCACAAGCGAUUGUUCAAAGCACCAAUAGUUACAUAAUUCGGCAAUUCAAAAUUUCCCACGCUUUUUCACACUCCUAAUCGUGAACGUAAAUCGUUACGUGAACAGCGUUGCAAAUCGUUUCUCGGUACACCACCAAGCGCUAACUCUCAAAUCAUUAAUCACUUAUGUUGUGCAUCAAAAUACAGUCAAAAAUUAACGUUCACCAAUUUCAGAGUGCAUGGCUUAAACCAACUGAGGUGUCCACACGUCACAAUAAAUAUAAAGUGCGCUUCUGGCGAAUAAUGCAAUAGACACAUGCACGACAAACGUAUUUUCAGCGACGAUUAAGAAAUCCUAUGGCGCAGCUGUAAUACGAAAGCCGGUGAUUACUGUGACUCAUGGAGAAAGCAGAUCAAUGAUAAAUCCAGUGUAGAAGUGGUGACGACAAAGCUAUGGAGAUAAAAAUAAACAAGCACAUGCAGCGAGUUGAUCGCGCUAUAA
Molecule: RNA transcript, 4824 nt
Organism: Nasonia vitripennis (jewel wasp)
Lineage: Eukaryota; Metazoa; Arthropoda; Insecta; Hymenoptera; Pteromalidae
Gene: Or192
Gene name: odorant receptor 192
Exons: 10
Source: RefSeq, marked inferred